RNA transcript from Molossus molossus (Pallas's mastiff bat), 1977 nucleotides. It is a transcript of the gene named proline and serine rich coiled-coil 1, with no coding region annotated. NCBI's taxonomy places the organism in Eukaryota, Metazoa, Chordata, Mammalia, Chiroptera, Molossidae. The transcript is spliced from 9 exons. The record is from RefSeq and is a predicted model, not a curated record.
ACUAAGUUGUGGGAGAAAAUCCCUGUCGGCGGAACGUGUGGCGGAGCAGGAGUGGAAACUCCGUUAGGCUGUGGGUGUGGUGCCGCGAGGAGUGGGAAGUUCAGGUCUAAGAAGACUUCUGCCCCUGCUGGCCGGAACAUGGGAGAUUUGCAGGAAGAUGUAAAGUUUAUAGUGGAUGAGACCUUGGACUUUGGAAGGCUGUCACCAUCCGACAGUCGUGAGGAGGAAGACAUAGCAGUGUUGGCGACUCCAGAGAAACCCCUCCGACGAGGCCUCUCCCACCGAGGUGGCCUAAAUGCGGUGGCCCCCAUCCCCCAGGGUGUGAGGUUCAGCUUAGGCCGCCUCAGCCCAGAGAAGCUGGAGGAGAUCCUGGACGAGGCCAACAGGCUGGCAGUGCAGCUGGAGCAGUGUGCCCUGCAGGAGCGGGAGAGGACAGGCGAGGGCCUCGGGCCUCGCAGGCUGAAGCCCAGCCCUCGGCGGGAGACCUUUGUGCUGAAGGACAGUCCUGUCCGAGACCUGCUACCCACUGUGAGCUCUUUGGCUCGGAGCACCCCCUCUCCAAGCAGCCUGACACCCCGACUCCGGAGCAGCGAUAGGAAGGGAUCAGUCAGGGCUCUUCGGGCAACAUCUGGAAAGAGACCCUCCAGCGUGAAGAGGGAGUCGCCCACUUGCAGUCUGUUCCCCACAUCCAAAAGCCCAGCAUCUUCUCCCCUUGCCCGAUCAACUCCUCCAAUCAGGGGGAAAGCUGGACCCAGUGGGAGAGCAACAGCAAGCCCCCCUGUCCCCGUCAGACCAGUCUUGGCCCCACAGCCUUCUACCAGCAACUCUCAGCGCCUGUCUCGGCCACAGGGAGCAGCUGCUAAAGCUUCCAGUCGACUACCUGUUCCCUCAGCCAUCCCCAAGCCUGUCAGCCGAGUGCCACUCACUAGCCGGAUUGUACCACCCAGCAAAGGUGCCCAAACUUCAGAUUCAAUGUCAACUCGGAAAGGACUUCCAAGACCAAGCGCUGCAGGGCACAGAGUUCCUGUUUCCCAGCGACCAAAUCUUCCUAGUGCCACUCACAGCAAUCUGCAGCCCCCCAGGAAAGUUGCAGUUACAGGACCGACCAGGAAUUGCUGAGGGGAGGGAUUGAGGAGAAUCCAUGGCAGGAAAGCCAGAGACCAGCCUUACAAAUGAGAAACGAGCAUUUGCACCUGCUCCAGAGGAAAGUCCGUGACAAGCCUGGAAUACAUGCUUAGCAUAAAUGGGAGCUGAGGUGGGGGGAGCAGGAGAAAGAGGAACAGGACCUGGUCCUUUGAAGAAGAGAGCCAAUUCCCAGAAGGGGUUAAAAAUAGAACACAUUCCAGAGGCCACAGCAGGUCAGACAAAGUGAGGUCUGUCUGAUCUUGGGGGGUGUGGGUGAGUGGACCCCAGAACCCAGACUUGAGACCGGUGCUGGGAGCAACUGAGCAAGCACUAAAUUUACUCUUCCUCCCGGUCCCACCCACACAACAGCAAAGAAGCGCAACUUAACAUGACUGGCCUUCCCCACGUGCGGGUCCGGCAGGGAGAUGAAGCACUUUUGGGUCAGCAAACUGAGCAAACGCCUGGGCUGCAGCACAUGGCCGGAGACCAGGAAAAGGAGAGGAGCUGGGGUGGCCCAGCCACCGCUGGGGCACGGGUUCCCCUCAAAAUGUGUUCAUGCAGCAUUUGGGGGUCUGGGGGCACUGAGUCCUUCUGCCCCCUCUCCGAGAACGGGGCUUCGUCAGUUCCUGGGAGGGGUGGCACAGGCGGGGUGAGGCACUCCCUCUGCCCUGAUACCCUCGCCAUACUGAGGCCCGCCCGGGGCAGCCUGCAGGGCUGGGCGCCCUGGGUGCAUGUGGCUUUGUCCUUUCCUUUUGGUGAUGGCAAAUGAGGGGAAGGUCCCCCUAGAGUCCCUCUCCUCCCCGAGGCACAGCAGAUGGGAAACCGAGGAGAGGCUGGGGAGCAUCCUGGGAG